This is a long non-coding RNA of Heterocephalus glaber (naked mole-rat), 1610 nucleotides long. RefSeq lists it as uncharacterized. The record is from RefSeq and is a predicted model, not a curated record. Lineage: Eukaryota; Metazoa; Chordata; Mammalia; Rodentia; Bathyergidae.
CAGCCGGGGUCCCGGCCGGGCCUCCCGCUCCGCGGCCUGGUGGCUGGAGUUGUGGCCGCGAAGUUGGCUCCGGGCAGGAGCCACAUCGAAGGCGUGGGAGGGGCGCUGCUCCAGACGCCAGCGUCCCAAGAGAAAUGGGACCUGAAAGGACGUCGCGCCAAAGCCGGGCCAGCCACUUGCUGCGCGCAACUGGGCGAGGGGUGGCACUAGCCUAAAGCCUCUCCCGGGGGAAGCACGGCCCUGUUCCUCUGACCCGCACUUCUCUGAAAAUCCUCAGCUACUGGACUCCAUCUCUACGAGCAGGCGAAGGCUGGGAGUGCACCUGGAGUGGACAGAGCACAUGCUGACCUCGGGGCUUCCUCCCCAGUGGGCCAGCAACCCGAGAAAUCCGUAGAGAGCGCGCCCAGGCCGACCUCCGCCAGACAGGCGGCACAGCCUGCAGCCUGAGACUGCUGCUUCUCAUGAGGGAAGCUCGUGGGGUUUGUCCAGUCUAAAGCUACAAGGGCGUGCCUGAGAGAUGGCAGCAGUGGACAGACGUGGCCAAGCUUGAUAUAUGGUUGGAAGGGUAUACAGCACAUAGCAAUGAGGGUGCCAGCUGCUUGGUGAUACUGGGCACAGCACCUACUUCAGCAGACUGUUUCUGCAUUUCUCAAAGGAGCUGCUGGGACUGCCUCAUCUCUUCCAGUACUAUCUUUCUGUGGUUUUACGCUCAGAGAGUACAUUUCCCUUCUGGAUUUAAGGACUUCCUGGAAACCCUUCAUGAUUUAGCUGUCGCCACGCCACAAAGCGCUAAUUCAGCAUUAAGCUGUAGGUAUACUGGUGCAAUAUCUAGAACAAAGCAGAGGUGUUUUCCUCUAUCCUGAGUUAGACAGUUGAAAUACAGAUUAGGACACCAUGUAAGAGAAAAACCAGUAUGCAACUGGAGAGCAGGAACUUGGAAUGUUUGAUCUGCCAAGUGAGCAAGAUAGGUAAAACAAGAACAAACUGCUGUCCUGUAAACCAAGUCCUGAAAACCAAGACCACACAAAGAGGGUAAGAUGAUGCAGGCACUUCCUGAAGGCUCCAAAGGGAGCCAAGGAGGGAAGCAGGAUCUGAGCAGAGGGAGGAUCAGCAACAAGGCAGGCAGGUGUGCCCUCCGAAGCAACCUGAGGCAGGCAUCAGGCGCCAGGUGGGUGAGAGUGCUCGGGGGAGCAUGUGAUAAAGAGGUGAUCUAGCUCGAGGAGGAGGAAUGAACUUUAGGAGGGCAAGAGCCAAGAGUGAGUAACAGAGCUAAAAAGCUUGAAGGGGUGGCUGGAUAAACCAUGCUCGGAUCACACAACAGGCAGAGAACAUCUCACGCUCCUGUGUGUGCUCUACAGGACACAUGGUCAGAGAAAGCAGCUGCAGACUAUGCUCGCUGCUUUCUGUAAGAGUCAAAACUGCCAAGGGACAUGUGUGUGUUUAUAUUUUCAAAAAGAAUCAACAGAAGGAAACGACAGGGAAAGAGACAAAGGGAGGGAGGGGUACACAGAGGGAAGCCAAGCUCAUCUGAAAUGUUAUUUGUAGCUUUGCAUUUAGAACCAUGUAAAUUGGGGAAGAAGAAACUCUAGAAAUAAAUACUAAAGCUGAAA